This 76-nucleotide microRNA precursor is filed under the name Paramuricea clavata. The record is from RNAcentral. Lineage: Eukaryota; Metazoa; Cnidaria; Anthozoa; Malacalcyonacea; Plexauridae.
CUUUGUACUCGAUGUUACUAGUAUACAUGAAACAUGAUAUCAUGUUUCAUGUAUGCUAGUAACAUCGAGUACAAAG